GUGAUUUCUGAAAGCAGGUAAGCCACUGACUAACGCACAUUGCGCCUGUUCUUCACUCCACUGUGCGUGUGACAGCGGCUAACCAGCUUUUGGAU
Cyprinus carpio carpio is the source of this 95-nucleotide microRNA precursor. NCBI's taxonomy places the organism in Eukaryota, Metazoa, Chordata, Actinopteri, Cypriniformes, Cyprinidae. The record is from Ensembl.